CUAGGUCGGAUUUUAUCUUGUGGUGAGGUAAUGGGUCACCAAGGCGACAAUCCGUAAUCUGGGCUGAGAGGAUGAUCUCUCACACUGGAACUGAGACACGGUCCCCACUCCUACGGGAGGCACCAGUGGGGAAUAUUGGACAAUGGGCGAAAGCCUGAUCCAGCCAUGCCGCGUGUGUGAAAAAGGUCUUCGGAUUGUAAAGCACUUUAAGUUGGGAGGAAGGGCACUAAGCGAAUACCUUGCUGUUUUGACGUUACCGACAGAAUAAGCACCGGCGAACUCUGUGCCAGCACCCGCGGUAAUACACAGGGUGCAAGCGUUAAUCGCAAUUACUGGGCGUAAAGCGCGCGUAGGUGGUUCGUUAAAUUGGAUGUGAAAUCCCCGGGCUCAACCUGGGAACUGCAUCCAAAACUGUCGAGCUAUAGUAUGGCAGAGGGUGGUGGAAUUUUCUGUGUAGCGGUGAAAUGCGUAUAUAUAGGAAGAGAACACCAGUGGCGAAGGCGACAACCUGUGCUCAUACUGACACUGAGGUGCGAAAGCGUGGGGAGCAAACAGGAUUAUAUACCCUGGUAGUCCACGCCGUAAACGAUGUCAACUAUCCGUUGUAGUCCUUGAGAUUUUAUUGGCGCAGCUAACGCAUUAUAUUGACCGCCUGUGGAGUACGGCCGCACAGUGAAAACUCAAAUGAAAUUGACGGGGGCCCGCACAAGCGCUGUAGCAUGUGAUUUUAUUUCUAAGCAACGCGCAGAACACUACACGACCUUGACAUCCCACUGAACUUUCCAGAGAUAGAUUGGUGCCUUCUGCAACAUUGAA
This 816-nucleotide ribosomal RNA is filed under the name Pseudomonas sp. Its description in RNAcentral is "bacterial SSU rRNA". It matches the Rfam family "Bacterial small subunit ribosomal RNA", at positions 231 to 1033 of the family's 1533-position model. Lineage: Bacteria; Pseudomonadati; Pseudomonadota; Gammaproteobacteria; Pseudomonadales; Pseudomonadaceae. The record is from RNAcentral.